This 495-nucleotide ribosomal RNA is filed under the name uncultured bacterium. Its description in RNAcentral is "partial 16S ribosomal RNA". It matches the Rfam family "Bacterial small subunit ribosomal RNA", at positions 28 to 507 of the family's 1533-position model. The record is from RNAcentral.
GACGAACGCUGGCGGCGUGCCUAAUACAUGCAAGUAGAACGCUGAAGGAGGAGCUUGCUUCUCUGGAUGAGUUGCGAACGGGUGAGUAACGCGUAUGUAACCUGCCUGGUAGCGGGGGAUAACUUUUGGAAACGAUAGCUAAUACCGCAUAAUAGUAGAUGUCGCAUGACAUUUGCUUAAAAGUUGCAAUUGCAUCACUACCAGAUGGACCUGCGGUGUAUUAGCUAGUUGGUGAGGUAACGGCUCACCAAGGCAACGAUACAUAGCCGACCUGAGAGGGUGAUCGGCCCCACUGGGACUGAGACACGGCCCAGACUCCUACGGGAGGCAGCCGUAGGGGAUCUUCGGCAAUGGACGGAAGUCUGACCGAGCCAAGCCGCGUGAGUGGAGAAGGUUGUCGGAUCGUAAAGCUCUGUUGUAAGAGAAGAACGAGUGUGAGAGUGGAAAGUUCACACUGUGACGGUAUCUUACCAGAAAGGGACGGCUAACUACGUG